UACGGAGGGGGCUAGCGUUGUUCGGAUUUAUUGGGCGUAAAGGGUGCGUAGGCGGCAGGGUAAGUUAGAUGUGAAAUACCGGUGCUUAACAUCGGAAUUGCAUUUAAGACUGCCUUGCUUGAGCAUUAGAGAGGAGACUGGAAUUUACGGUGUAGCAGUGAAAUGCGUAGAUAUCGUAAGGAAGACCAGUGGCGAAAGCGAGUCUCUGGCUAAAUGCUGACGCUGAGGCACGAAAGCUGGGGGAGCAAACGGG
This 253-nucleotide ribosomal RNA is filed under the name uncultured bacterium. RNAcentral's name for it is "partial 16S ribosomal RNA". It matches the Rfam family "Bacterial small subunit ribosomal RNA", at positions 524 to 776 of the family's 1533-position model. The record is from RNAcentral.